RNA transcript from Daphnia magna, 6507 nucleotides. It is a transcript of the gene named DENN domain-containing protein 5B, with no coding region annotated. The transcript has 32 exons. The record is from RefSeq and is a predicted model, not a curated record. NCBI's taxonomy places the organism in Eukaryota, Metazoa, Arthropoda, Branchiopoda, Diplostraca, Daphniidae.
ACGACGCAAAAGAAAAGCUUCCUCAGUCCCACAGAAAAGGCGCUUAAUGCUAUUUGUCGUCCAAGUUUAAUCUUCCUCCGUCUCAAGUUUCAUGUGUUCAGUAUGUUGUGCACCUAUUCUAGUUCUUUUACUCAUCAACUUGCAUAAUGAAUAGCUUAACCCAAGUGAAUAAUGUAUUUGAUUAUUUUGCCGUGUGUGGUCUGGAUUCGAUGCGAGGCUUAGUCCCCAAUAAUGAACAUAAUGCCCUCUCAGGCCCUCUAGAAGCUACCUAUUGCCCGCAAGUUUUAGCACACUAUCCAGAAAAUGUUGCCUGGAAUCCAUUUGAUGGUUCUGCUGUCACCACGCUAUGUAUGCCAUCAGGAGUUCAUUUCUCUUGUGUUCCAAAAGAGUCUCAUGAUACUAACAAAGAACCUCACUUCCAUCCAUUCAUUAUAACCAAGGAAAAUGGAUCCAAAGUGUAUGGGUUUUCCUUAGUCUUUUAUGAAGAAGUGGUUGAUGAUUCAAUCAUCAAUGCAAUCAGCUCCCUGCAGAAGAUGCAUGCAGCUCAAAUUGUUGAGAUUGCACCCAGAUCCAAUUUGGAAGUCUUUGAAGAUCCAACUACUAGCUCAAAGUCCCUACCUAGGCAUUUUAAGGUCAACAGUACUCGGCUGUACGAUAAAGCCAAGAGUACAGCAAAAUUCGAUGUCCUUCGCGAUUCCUUAUUAGUUGCCAAGUGCGUCUGUCUUAUCGGACAGCACCCCCUCGUUGAUGCCGCUAAGAAUUUCCUCAUCAAUUUCUACAGAUUGGCUGUGCAUUCCUCCGAGCUAUCUACUCUGGGUGACCACCCUUUGUCUAUGCUUAGUCCAGAAUCAUAUAUCCAUUAUUUGUUGUUCUCCGUUCCUCCACCAAGUCCUAAUCAGUGCAUAGUCAUUCCCAACGUUCCCAAUCUGGAGUGGACGCAGUCGUCGACCCUUACGAGCUCUACCCUUAUCUUUCAACGUCCAUCCGUGCACUCUGAACUUCCGCUGUUCGAGUACGAGAUCGUUCAAGUCAUUGAUCUUCUUGGGAUUGAUCAUCUUAUACAGUUAUGGACUUGUUUACUGCUUGAGAGCCAAGUGCUUAUCUAUUCUCAAGAUUUCAGUCGAUUGAUGUUAGUAGCCGAAUCCCUGACAACACUUUUAUUUCCAUUCUCUUGGCCCCAUGUCUACGUUCCCAUCUUACCGGCAGCCAUGUACAACUUCUUGGAUGCCCCGGUACCUUUCCUGAUGGGAUUACGGUCACUUCCUUCUGACGACGCUCGCAUUCCCUCAGAGGCAAACUUGUGCAUGGUGGAUAUUGAUAAUGAUAGAAUUACCAUUCCGGAAGAUUUACCGUCGUUCCCACAACACAGGGAGUUAGCCGACGAGUUAAGAGAGGUGCUCACAAAGUUGCAACAGAACCCAAGUACUACAAGCUCGUCCUCCGCGCAAAAGAAAUCAGCACCAAACGCUACGAUACAAUCGUCAUCUUCGAAUAAGCAUCGCCAGUCGUGGUCUCCGAUGGCGUUAGCCAGUGGCUCAAACGCAUCGGUUCUCGAACGCUCGGAAGCUUUUCAACGGAUUUCGGCUAUAGCGAAACGCACUGGUGUUUUUAACGAAGAUGCCAAAACUGGUUCGAUAAACGGUGAUAUGGAAAAACAACCCGUCACGGUUUCCAGCGAUUUGGAACGUUAUUUACGAGUGCAAAUACUCAACAAUGCUAUCCGCGAGAUUUUCUUGAAUCAAUUUGCUCACAUGUUUUCUGUUUACGAAUACUUCUUUAAUCAACCUAAUCAGGAUAUGGAUUCGUGGUUAUCAAAUAGAGACCAAGUACAUCCGUUUGAUAAAACUACGUUUCUCUCGGAUCAGCCUGGACCGCAUCUCCGGUUCAUGUCAUCUUUCUUGGAAAGUCAAAUGUUUGCUAGCUUCAUUGAUGCCAAAGUUUUGGCCAAUUAUGGCCAAUAUAGUCACUCAGUUCGCGUAUUGGACGCUCGUAUCAAACUCUUGAAGGAUGGUUACGGUGAUUCCAUGGUCCGAACGCCGGGCUAUGAACCGUGCACUUGGUACGAACAGACGGCUGCGUUGUUGGAACGACGUCUUCUGAAACCGUUGAUGAAUGUAGUUACGCCCAAUGAAAUUCUUACCAAUAUGGACGAGCGGCCAAUUGUUAAAAAACAAAGAACCAAUAAGUUUUAUCCAAGUUUUCCCGUUCUCAAUAAUUCGAUGCUGAGCACUGCUCCUUGUUACGAAACCAUUGGCAGGAAGAAAGGAGAGAAAUCGCGGCGGAAGGAGAAGCCGACACUACAGAAAUCCUACUCUAUCGGGUUCGAAUCAAGCGGGAUAGCUGAAACGAUACGUGAUAGUAAUAACCUUGUGCCGGCAGUGCCGAUUGUUCCGCGGCCGGCUGUGAUUGCCCAGGGCAACUGGAAAUUCGUCGAACAACUUCUACAAGAAUGCAAAACCAAAACCAAGCGUUUAUUGGUGGGUAAAAUGGGCAGUGAAGCUUUCGAAUUAGGUCAUGGGCAAGUAUCAGUCUCUGGUGUCGAAGAUAACACGUUGAUUGCUGGACUAUGUGAUCUGCUAGAGCGCGUCUGGGCACAUGGAUUGCAAACUAAACAAGGUAAAUCGGCACUGUGGUCGCAUAUCCUACAUUAUCACGAUCUGAAAACAGCCCCUGCGGUCAGUAAGCCCGUCAAAGCCUCUAGUCAAGCUCCAGCUUAUGCAUUUGUCACGUUGAGGAAAAGAUUACGGAAUCUUUCAGCGCCGUCGUACGAUGGCGAUGGUGCAGCCAAUAGAAGUCGCUCUAGCAAUUCGAUCGAUAACAAUCGUGCUGGCAAUCCUCCGAAUCGGAUGAAACCAUUACCGGAAUCUUUGAUCUUUGAUAUGAGGAACGUUCAAAACAUGGCGGAUAUAAAAACCCAUUUGGGUUAUGCGCGCGCGUGGGUUCGGUUAUGCUUAGAGAAAAAGCUGCUCUACGUGCAUUUAACCACUCUCUUGUCGGAAGAAAAUCUCUUAAGGACUCUGUACAAACGCUACGCUUUUCUGCGUUGCGAAGACGAGCGCAACCUAUUCUUGACAUACCUAUUAACACUCAACGCUGCGGACUAUCAUUCUUUUACACAUACAUAUACGAGCACUGUGAUAACGUACCGUGUGUUGAUCGUCCAAAGUCGCCAGUCAAGCAUGUCAACAUGCCGGCCUUACCUCUUGCUAAGCGGGACGUUGGCUGACACUCAGGCCCUUUACUUUGCAAACGACCGUCUGGAACUUCUCUUUCAGCAUAAAAAUAUUGGAAUACUCACGACUUUGCGAAUUGGACUUGAAGAUCAAAUCGGCAAUAGUCGUUGGUUGAUUGACCAUAUCAUUGUACGGAAUGAAAUUACUGGCCGGGGCUUCAAAUUUCCAUGUGGCCGUUGGCUCGGUAAAGACAUUGAGGAUGGUUCCACAGAGCGUCUGCUAGUCGCUACGCAAUACGACUGCAGUACAAUGAGUGGAUCUGAUUUAGGAUCCAUGGAUCCUUCAACUCAUGUUAAUGGUUCGCCAGCCCAUAAUUCGAACGUACCGAUUGGGUCUCGUACUCGGUCACCGAGUGCGACUCGGACAGAAAGUUCACUCACCAGCUCCCUUACAAAUUUGGCCGGAAAUCUCAAUAUCAACCUGAAAGGCCCUGGCACACGUCGCAAAUUUACAGAAACGGAAAUGCAGUGUUUGCUGGGCGAGGCUGUGAAUAAUCUUAUCAAGUAUUACCUCGAGCCUACGGGAGAACGAGGUAACGUUACGGCGCUGCUUUGCGGAGAGUCAGGACUGGUUCCUUGCCUAGAACUGGUCCUGCACCAUGGAUUUCGUUCUUCUAGAAUUUUCAGCCGCAAUCUUUUCUUAUGGGACUAUUUGCUGCAAGUUCGGGAUUGUUAUACGCAAGACCCACGUUCGGUAACGAGCGUUCGAGACUAUGCGGACCCCUCAUCUGAUCGACCCGCUCGCCGCUGGUUGUGCGAUAUCAUCGAAAAGAUUCAACAUUACGGACAUUCAUUAGGAAAGCGGGAUAAGCUACAAUUAUUCCUCUGUCUUGCUGCAAGAGACCGGAUGCUCCAUCGGAUUAUUAGUCCACUGGCGUCUUGUUCUUCUACUUUAACACACUACGAUGAAAACUCGUAUUUGAGGGACAAGCGAUUACGCGAUUACCUACAACCUCUCUUGCAAACCCUAAGCGAAGAGAAGGUGAAAAUCAUUCUCGAGGCAUCCAUUACGCGGGGCAUCGACUAGAGUUUUAAUGAAUAACAAACUAUUCCUUAAGAGAAAUCUACGAUACAUUUUAUACUCGUCGAAAACGUAACACUCCAAUGUAAACCAGUUGCAGAAAAACCUUGUGGACUACGCACGGGAGCUUAUCUUGUGCAGGACAUUUUCUCGAUGUUGCAUCAUAGCUGGUUGCAGUAAAGGACUGACUCAUCGUUCCGAGGCCUGGAAACAACCGCGCUUGCCAUAAAGUGGAAGUUGGAUGCUCUAAUGUUGUACCUUUCCAGCCACGACUUUGCUCUACUCUCCCUUUCAGAUCGUCAUCUAUUCGGAAGGCUAUCGUGACAUAGAGAACCGAAUUUUCUUGCUUCACUGCUGCCGUAUGAAACAUCCAACAUGAUGGAAUUACUUGAAUUAUCGGAUCGUCAAUCACGCAAUGGCUGACAAUCGUCUGUCUCUCACAAACAACAGGAACAUUUACUAUGCAGCUAUCCAUAACGCUGCCUAUCAUACUCUCGACAUCCGCUUCGAGACAAGAAGUAGUUACAAUGCCUUGAAUUCCUGAUGGUUCGCGGCAGAAUGAUUGAGCGAUCGGUUUCAUCGCCAAGGUUUGGAAUAGCUCUGAGGUAGGGUUCAAGUUUUCUAAGUCUAUAAAUAGUUUGCAUUUAGAUUUUGGCCGCGUAUGGAUAAGUAAACACAAACUUACAUUCUGGCAUUGUUCCUAAAUGGUAGAAAUGUGAUUGCUCAAGCACCAUAAUAUUCAACGGUGUUUCUCCAAAAUGACUAGCUAUUUUCCCUUUGAUUGUUGAUGAAUCAGAUGUGCUUUUCAAGUAUAGUUUUUCUUCAGCUGGACGAGAGCCCAUACAUGCUAGAAAAUCUCCAUAUAUACACGUUUCAGUACGGUAUAGGUCGCCGUUUUCCUCUGCGAAUGUGACCAUUUUCUUCACUAGCUCCGGCCCGCACCAAAACAUGCUGUCCGUGUACACUCUUUCCUCUCCGUCCCCUUCGUAAAAUAUGGAUCUAAGCUACGACGAACCAUCAUUUGGAAUAUCUGUGAUGAUAACUUCUUACCCAAUUUUACUAAGGCUUUUCUCAUUUUCAUUGUAGAAUAAUUAGGUUUCUGCAAAACUUCUAGACAACUGGUCAGCCAACAGUUUUCGUCCCUUUUUGAAGACUCAGAAAUACUAUGAUUGUCUGGCUACCUAUAGCUAUUGAAGAUGGAUGGGCAAUGGCUACAAUUCCAUCCUCAGUCAAUGGAUUUGACUUUUCUACAGUACUUUCAAGGCCUACAGAAUGAAAAGCAAUAAGUUUCAAUGUCAUCAGAUGCACAAAUAAAUAUUCCUCCAUUUUUCAUCAGUUUGAGGAAAGGUGACGUUAGAAUUAUUUUCAAAUUCAGAAUUGUUAUUGCCUUUCCUUCAAUUUCUAGUGGCAAAGGACAGAAGAGCUUGCCUGUGCAGCUUAGAUUUGGCAAUCUCUUGCUAGAGCCCCCUUUUAUGAUCUUUGAGCUGCUUUAAGAUAUGGAAGGUAGAUCCUCCUGACCCCAAGAUGGACCCAGGGCAAUCAGCAAUCACCAAAUAUUUUGGUGCUCCUGCAGAGAUAACUAGACAGUCCCAAAAAUCAGCCUUUUCCUCUAAAAUGGCUUUUGUUGAAGUUUUGUGCUAAGCGAACCAUGUAUUUCUGUAUCUGUUCCAUUCUUGCGACUGUCACAUCUUACAGCAAAUAUGCUGCUGACAACCUAUUCAAAACAAGAACGAUUGCAGAGACCCCUGGCAUCUAGCGCACGAAAAGGCUCCUAUGCUUACUGAUAAUGACGAGAAACAAAUCUGAUAGCCUAACGAGGUGGCAAAAUCCCUACCAACAGGCAACCAGACCAACAGAUGCUCCACCAAACUAACCAAAUUUCAGGCUAAAUCCUGGACCUAGAAGGUUAGCUCUGCGAUCAACGUGUGCGGCACCCAUGUGAAACCCUGUGUUGGCGUCGACGUCUACUUCUUCAUUCAAUUGUUUGUAUGCUCGACCACCUGAUGGAGGUUUUGGACUCUGUGCUUUACGGGCUCCAUUCGACUCACUUUUUGCAGGCCAAGUUGGGAGCAUGGAUGGGUGUAUAGGAAAAGGAGGCUCUUUCAAAUAGGUAUGGUUCAACGCUUCUUCAGCAGAAAUGCGCUUUGCAGGAUCGUACGUCAAAAAUCUAAACGCAGAAGAACAAAAACAAAUAUCUUAAUGUUGUAAUUAAGAAACUAAAGAAAGAAAAGAAAUAAAAGUACUUUUGCAUUAA